This 309-nucleotide ribosomal RNA is filed under the name uncultured cyanobacterium. RNAcentral's name for it is "bacterial SSU rRNA". It matches the Rfam family "Bacterial small subunit ribosomal RNA", at positions 1143 to 1450 of the family's 1533-position model. The record is from RNAcentral. Lineage: Bacteria; Bacillati; Cyanobacteriota.
GCGAGACCGCCGGUGAUAAACCGGAGGAAGGUGUGGAUGACGUCAAGUCAUCAUGCCCCUUACAUCCUGGGCUACACACGUACUACAAUGCUACGGACAAAGGGCAGCAAGCUCGCGAGAGUUAGCAAAUCCCAUAAACCGUGGCUCAGUUCAGAUCGUAGGCUGCAAACUCGCCUACGUGAAGGAGGAAUCGCUAGUAAUCGCAGGUCAGCAUACUGCGGUGAAUACGUUCCCGGGCCUUGUACACACCGCCCGUCACACCAUGGAAGUUGGCCACGCCCGAAGUCGUUACUCCAACCUUGUGGAGGA